GACGAACGCUGGCGGCGUGCUUAACACAUGCAAGUCGAACGGAAAGGUCCUGCUUUUGUGGGGUGCUCGAGUGGCGAACGGGUGAGUAACACGUGAGUAACCUGCCCUUGACUUUGGGAUAACUUCAGGAAACUGGGGCUAAUACCGGAUAGGAGCUCCUGCUGCUUGGUGGGGGUUGGAAAGGUUCGGCGGUUGGGGAUGGACUCGCGGCUUAUCAGCUUGUUGGUGGGGUAGUGGCUUACCAAGGCUUUGACGGGUAGCCGGCCUGAGAGGGUGACCGGCCACAUUGGAACUGGAAUACGGCCCGGACUCCUCCGUGAGGCAGCAGUGGGGAGUGUUGCACAAUGGAAGGAACGCUGGUGCGACAACGCCGCGUGCGGGAAAACAGCCUUCGGGUUGUAAACCGCUUUCGCCUGUGACGAGGCGUGAAUGACGGUAAUGGGUAAAGAAGCACCGGCUAACUACGUG
RNAcentral lists this ribosomal RNA (468 nucleotides) under uncultured bacterium. Its description in RNAcentral is "partial 16S ribosomal RNA". It matches the Rfam family "Bacterial small subunit ribosomal RNA", at positions 28 to 507 of the family's 1533-position model. The record is from RNAcentral.